Molecule: long non-coding RNA, 572 nt
Filed under: Heterocephalus glaber (naked mole-rat)
Lineage: Eukaryota; Metazoa; Chordata; Mammalia; Rodentia; Bathyergidae
Description: lncRNA (ENSHGLG00000041995.1)
Source: RNAcentral
CCUGGGGCUUGGGCCUGUGUUUGCUCUGUGAGGCCGGAGGGAGCUGUGCCAGCCCUGCACACACAGCCUGCUCUAUUCUGGGGCCAGAGAGAGGAGACGGGCCUGGGGCAGCUCUCCCAGCCUCCCCGCAGGGGCCUCGGUCCUGAUGACUCUCAGGGACAGCUCCAGAGGCCCAGUGAUUUAUGGCCACAGCUCUCUCUCUCUCCAUCUGGCUUGCUUGUCCCUGCUGGACAAGUGGGGCAGACUUGAGAAGAAACACAGUGAGCUGCUGGUGCUUCUGCCCAGGCACCUCUGCUGCCUGCUCCCGCGGCUGGGUUCUCCCAUGUCAGUAGAGGCUGGAAUUGGGUUGCUGGUCUUCAGGUGGAUGUCAUUCUUUCCUUUCUCCUUUUGGUACUGAGCCUUGGACCCCCAGAUUUUGUGCCCACUAAGCUGGGCUUUUACCACUGAGGCAGAAUCGUGGCUGCUUGGAGAGCCGGACACCCUGUCCCUGGAAAGCGAUCCCUAGACCCCAGGGACGGGGACAGGGACAGGCACACCAGGCCCCCCAUCCGCCCCACCAUUCCGUGCUGGGG